RNAcentral lists this ribosomal RNA (429 nucleotides) under uncultured bacterium. Its description in RNAcentral is "bacterial SSU rRNA". It matches the Rfam family "Bacterial small subunit ribosomal RNA", at positions 355 to 776 of the family's 1533-position model. The record is from RNAcentral.
UGGGGAAUAUUGGACAAUGGGGGAAACCCUGAUCCAGCGACGCCGCGUGGGUGAAGAAGGCCUGCGGGUUGUAAAGCCCUUUCGGUAGGGACGAAAGCCUCCGACCUAACACGUCGGAGGGUUGACUUAACCUACAGAAGAAGCACCGGCUAACUCUGUGCCAGCAGCCGCGGUAAUACAGAGGGUGCGAGCGUUAAUCGGAAUUACUGGGCGUAAAGCGCACGUAGGCGGCUUGGUAUGUCGGGUGUGAAAUCCCCGGGCUCAACCUGGGAACUGCAUCCGAAACUGCCUUGCUCGAGUAUGGGAGAGGGAAGUGGAAUUUCCGGUGUAGCGGUGAAAUGCGUAGAUAUCGGAAGGAACAUCAGUGGCGAAGGCGACUUCCUGGACCAAUACUGACGCUCAGGUGCGAAAGCGUGGGGAGCAAACAGG